CUACGGGCUGCUGCAGUGAGGAAUAUUGCACAAUGGGGGGAACCCUGAUGCAGCAACGCCGCGUGGAGGAUGACGCAUUUCGGUGUGUAAACUCCUUUUAUAUGUCAAGAAAAUGACGGUAGCAUAUGAAUAAGCACCGGCUAACUCCGUGCCAGCAGCCGCGGUAAUACGGAGGGUGCAAGCGUUACUCGGAAUCACUGGGCGUAAAGGACGCGUAGGCGGGUUGGAAAGUCAGGUGUGAAAUCCUACAGCUUAACUGUAGAACUGCACUUGAAACUGGUAACCUAGAGUAUGGGAGGGGGAGAUGGAAUUAGUGGUGUAGGGGUAAAAUCCGUAGAUAUCACUAGGAAUACCUAAAGCGAAGGCGAUCUCCUGGAACAUAACUGACGCUAAGGCGUGAAAGCGUGGGGAGCAAACAGGAUUAGAUACCCCGGUAGUC
RNAcentral lists this ribosomal RNA (439 nucleotides) under uncultured bacterium. RNAcentral describes it as "partial 16S ribosomal RNA". It matches the Rfam family "Bacterial small subunit ribosomal RNA", at positions 339 to 795 of the family's 1533-position model. The record is from RNAcentral.